Molecule: non-coding RNA, 1079 nt
Organism: Schizosaccharomyces pombe (fission yeast)
Lineage: Eukaryota; Fungi; Ascomycota; Schizosaccharomycetes; Schizosaccharomycetales; Schizosaccharomycetaceae
Source: the annotation of a GenBank genome assembly
AAUGUCAAACAAAUGCAAUUAUGAGGUAGAAAGUAACGGUAAAAUCACACCAAAAGUUGAGAUUUUACAAUAAAUACAAGAGGAUCACCAAUCUCAAGCAACCGUUAAAGCUUUCCAGAGAUAAUUCCCAGGGGUCAAUGAUUUGCCCGAAUUAAUUGAUACUUUGGUAAAUUGGCACUAUCGUUCAAUUAAUGCAAUGAAGAAAAGCACCCUGAUCUCCUCAAUUCAAGCAGAGAAUGGUGAAUGUUUAAGAAAGGCGUGCAGAUGGCGGGUGUGUUGUGACAAAAAAAGCUCGCUUCUUACAUGCUUCGGUAUCUGCAGUAAUAUAUAUAUAUAUAUAUUUAUUUAUUUAACAGAUUCAACCAAAUACAAGCUGUUCCGGACUGAUAUUUUUUUUUUCUCCUAAUACUCCUAUCAAUAAAGUAAUGUCUAUAAUUGCAGGCGGAUCAGUGAAAUAAUUGUUUUUCUAGUGAGCCAUUCUAUUGAUAGCGGUAAAUCCCCAGUGAGUAUCAGCAGCAACAAAUCCCUCUCUACGUUAUCAUAAGCAACAAUUUUAGUGUCAUAAAUGCGAAAAGUUGAUAAUAAACCAUGCGGUUUUUCUCGUCUCCGAGAUUGGGAUUCCAUUCAUGGAAAGUCGAUGUCAACCGGCUCUUAGUAGUAAGAAAAGCGUCAAUAAUGUAUGUCCACGGUCAAAUAUCCGUUGAGAGCAAAAUCAUGUUUUUCUACUGUAUACCUACGUAAACGAAUAAAAUAAUUACAAAAAUGAAAAUUUUAAUUUAUUUAUCGAUUUUUUUUUUUUUUGGGAAAAAGACUUAUUGCUUUGUUUCGAACGAUUUUUAAUUUCUAUUUAUUUGAAAAUGUAAUAACUUGUUUUAUUUAGGCGGAUUUAAUAGCUGCUGAGCAAAUACUAAUUCUGUUGAUGUUAUUGCUAAAUGAUAUCGCUUGUUUUAUUCCGAUGAAAAUUUUUGAAAAUUCGGUCGUUAAAAGUCAUGUUUUUGCAACAUGAAUCAAAAUAAUUGUUUAUGGAAAAGUAAUGUCGCAAAUGCCUAAACAAAGGGCAGUGCAUGUUUUUAUCACUC